This is a long non-coding RNA of Triticum dicoccoides, 3419 nucleotides long. RefSeq lists it as uncharacterized. The transcript is spliced from 8 exons. NCBI's taxonomy places the organism in Eukaryota, Viridiplantae, Streptophyta, Magnoliopsida, Poales, Poaceae. The record is from RefSeq and is a predicted model, not a curated record.
CUCGUUUAAAUGGUUAUCUAUUCUGCCGGCAUAGUUACAUGCCAUAUUAAUUUCAGAAGAACAAUUUCUAAUUUAGUGUUGUGCUUGCAUUCAUUGUUAUGUCUAAAAAGAAAAUUCCAAACAAAAACAAAUAUAAAGUCACAGUUUGUCUUUACACACUGGAUAAUGAAUGUUUCAAUCGCGCUAAAUUGAACCAAGGCUUUUAGAAUAAAUUGUGGCCUCUAAGCUUGUGUGUAGUCAAUUACUAAAUGUGUAAUAUUAGCACAUAUUAGCACGACUAUUUCUUAAGUGCAGCCAGCCACCAAUUUCAUUUGAUUUGAAUUAAUAUAUUACUUAUAUACUCAUUUAGAUAUUUAUUUAUGUCCUCGAUGGAUUGAUUUGAACGCCGCAAUUUUAUUACCCCGUUGCAACGCACGGGCCCUUUUGCUAGUAAUAAUAAAGCAUGGAUUGACUUUAUCGGGUUCACCGUUACAAUACGCUUUUUUCUCAUGUCAUAAUACAUUUUUAUAAUUUGUAUUGACAAAAUCGUAAUAUAAAUGAGGUGGUACUAAUAACAUGUUCGUACGUGGCCAGGCCGAGCCAAAUCCCCCUAGCCGCCGCCGCACCACUCCCGGACGCGGCCGACCUCAACUCGCCCGCCGCCGCGGCUGCACCUCUGCCCGCUCACGAGCCUCCACCCGCGCGCUCAGCUCUGGGACACCCGCGACGCACCGCGCGCGCCCUCCGCUGCCAAACUGCGCCGGCUGCGCCGACCGCCGCGCGCCGUCGGAUGGCGGCGGUGGACCCUCUCUCAUGGAGGAUUACACCGGCUGCCCCGCGCUAGCCGAGAUCAUCCGCAUCCUCUCCGUGAAGCGCCAUCGUCGCGGGAGGACUUCGUUGCCUGGCUCGCCGACAACUUCAUGACGAGGCCCGCGUCCGCUUCUUCCCGUGCGACCUCCUCGACGGUGCCGCCAUGCUCGCCGCCGGGCGCGGCUGCUACGGCAUCUUCCACCUCGCCUCGCCCUGCACCGUCGACCGCGUCCUGGACCCCCAAAAGGAGCGGGUAGCGCCGGCCGUGGAAGGGACGCUCCAUGUGCCUUCCUUGGAGCCGGCGCCGACCGGCCUGUGCCCCCUCCCCGCUGCACAAAAUUUGCUUCUUUGUCCCCACUUUGCUGCACAAACUCUGUGCCUCUGCUACGGCCAUUCUUCGCUCCAUGGCCUUCCACGAAUCUCAACCCUGGCAACUGGAAUGAUUCCGCCAAGGAUCAAUGCUAGCAUGGCCAUGUUUCUUCACUUGAAGGGUGGACCAUAGUGGCUUCACUGCUGGCGGAACGGCAGAGGGCUUGGCUGCUACCAGGGUGAUUCAAAGGGAGUAUAUAGGUAGAGUUUUUGCAGCCUCUUGCACAAACAUGAUUAAUGGUAGAUUCUAUUCCAUGACAUGAUUUUGCAGCUAUAAUGAUAUGUUUCAUGCGAGAGGACAUAAACUUGCAUCAUAUUUUUCUGUCCAGUUAGUUCCAAAUUACAAUGUUUGUGCUAUCAGUGACAAUUCGGUGGAAUAAGAUGAGUCAUAUAUACACCCAAUGUAAGCUUUCACAUCAGCCUUUGCUCUUGAUUGUCUUUGCAAGUCCAUGGAUAUAAUUUUUAGGAUUUUCCUUUACUCAUAGCAAGUGAUGAAUGUUUUGUCCUUCAACCCUUUAGGUGUAAAUACAUGUGAUGUGGCUAGCAAAGUUGGUAACACGCACAGUAUAACCAUUAUGAUCUGCACAGGGAUAUCACCUAGGUGCAUAAAACAUAAUCAUUCAGUUUUUAUUUGGCAAGCUGGAGCUACCCGGAACUUUCGAUUUGGUGCCAAGAUGGAUGGAUUCAACUAAGUGACCCACUAUCAGGUCAUAAAUCAUUUCUUUUGUUGAAGGAAGAGACUCCAUUUUCUGUCGAGGACCGAAUCGCACUAACCAAUCGGCUUACUUGGUUAGAAGAAAUUGAGAAAGGGGAGCAUCUUACACCUAAUAGGAAGCAGUGGUCUAAUCCUAAUCUCACCCAAUAGACGUACAUUACAACAAAAUUUUCUUACAUGCUGCCGCCUAUAUUUUUUCAUUACUAACAUAACCUUUUUAGAUCACCCGCAAAAAAAGCCCUUUUCAGAUCAAGUGUGUCUUGCAUUACAUUUGGUCAACUAUACUGCAACUUCAAACCAUAAUGCCUCUGUAUGUUGACUGUAUUUUUUGGAAUUGAAUUAUGUAUUCAAAGCUAUUGUUCAGCAUGGACACCGUUUAAAAAUCAUACAAGGGGCACACAAAAUGUAUAUGUACUUUUCUGUUUGAAUCUCUCACUAAUAAUAAAGCACGGAUUGGGUCUCCGGGUUCACCGUCGCGGCGUUUUUGCAAAGAAGUCCCUGUGCUUUUUGAUAAUUAACCCGCAGUACAGUUUUGACUGGUGAACAAAGGGAAAACGUUUCGUGUAUUGGCUUGGGACUCGGCUUGGCCUUUAGGGAAAAAAUAUAGCAUGGCGGCCUGUCCUCUCUGAGUACGCACAACAGCACGGGUCCUCUUCCUGGGGACGGCACGGCAGCGCCGCCAUGAAUCAAGCCGCCGCGCGCGGCCGGUACACCUUUCCCGCUACCCUCCAGCAGCGCGGCCGUUGCCCUUUUCUUCCCCUCCUCACCCGCCCCAACUCCUCACCCCCAGCCUCCUCGGCCUCAACUCGGACGUCUCCGAUUUGGAUAGGAUUCGACGCCGCCACGCGCGGCCGGUCUUCCUCUCUAGCUAUCCUCCAGCAGCGCCGCCGUUGCCCUGUUCUUCGCCUCCUCACCCGCCCCAACUCCUCACCCCCAGCCUCCUCCGCCUCGAGGAGGACGGCUCCGAUUUGGAGCUCAAGUACUGCCUCCUGACACCUCCAUCCCCAAGUACGUCCUCCCGUCAGACGAGGACGAGAUUUGGAUUGGGGCGCAACAGAGAUGAGGAAGGACAAAGCAUGAAUAGCUCCAGUGAGAGUGAACGGAUAUGAACACCACAACCCUCUCAGGGGUUGUUGGCUGAUCAGGAUACCCAAUUCUCAAACAAGCAUGCUGAGAUGCUCAAGAUAUGGAAGUUCGCCCACAAGCUCGACCGCCAGGUGAACAUGUCAAAGGUGCAGAUGGACAUGAUGAAGCCGUGAAUUGUCACGCAAGUCACUGAGCUUCUUGGGUUCGAAAAACUACCUAACUGCUAUUAUCCUGAAUUUAGUUUUAUCUAAACUAAGAGGACCACAUGUGCUUCUCUAACAAAGAAUUACUCAUUUGGUGUUCUUUUGCACUGCUGAUUUUAGUUCAAAUUGGUGUGAGUGCGACCUUUUUGUCAUGUUGGAUAAGGCUUUCUGUAUCACAUGGAUGUGACCUGUAGUAUGGUGUAGAAAAGUGAUGAAAGGUAUUAGUUUGAAUUAAUUUGGCAGCAAUAGUUUAUCAA